Molecule: long non-coding RNA, 474 nt
Filed under: Brassica napus (rape)
Lineage: Eukaryota; Viridiplantae; Streptophyta; Magnoliopsida; Brassicales; Brassicaceae
Description: long non-coding RNA (BNAP_LNC020050)
Source: RNAcentral
UAGAGUUAAAAGGUGGGAUUUAGGAUUUAGAGUUUAGGGUUUAGGGUUUAGAGUUUAAGGGUGGGAUUUAGGUUUUAGGGUUUAGAGUUAAAGGGUGGGGUUUAGGAUUUAGGGUUUAGGGUUUAGGGUUUAGGGUUUAGAGUUUAGGUUUUAGGAUUUAGAGUUGAGGAUUGGGAUUUUGGGGAUAAAAUUUCAAAUUUUGAAAAAUAAAAAAAUUUUAAUUUUUCAAAAGAUAAAAUGCUAUUUUGGUCAUUUUAGUUUUUGAGUGCUAUUUUUGUAAUAUAAACUUAGAAAUGUGCUAUUUUGGAGAUUUGCCCAUUUAAAAACUACUUUUCUAAUAACAACCUUUAUAUUUUAUUGGAUACGUAUAGUAUAUUUAGUUUCACCGAUUAAUGAAAUUAGUUUUAAAAAGAGGACUUUUCAAAAAAAAAAUGAAAAGGUUUCUCAAGUAAAAUCGAAAACAUUUGAUCACUU